Molecule: ribosomal RNA, 1291 nt
Filed under: Klebsiella pneumoniae
Lineage: Bacteria; Pseudomonadati; Pseudomonadota; Gammaproteobacteria; Enterobacterales; Enterobacteriaceae
Description: partial 23S ribosomal RNA
Rfam family: Bacterial large subunit ribosomal RNA
Source: RNAcentral
AAGGCUGAGGUGUGAUGACGAGGCACUACGGUGCUGAAGUAACAAAUGCCCUGCUUCCAGGAAAAGCCUCUAAGCAUCAGGUAACAUUAAAUCGUACCCCAAACCGACACAGGUGGUCAGGUAGAGAAUACCAAGGCGCUUGAGAGAACUCGGGUGAAGGAACUAGGCAAAAUGGUGCCGUAACUUCGGGAGAAGGCACGCUGGUGUGUAGGUGAAGUCCCUGCGGAUGGAGCUGAGACCAGUCGAAGAUACCAGCUGGCUGCAACUGUUUAUUAAAAACACAGCACUGUGCAAACACGAAAGUGGACGUAUACGGUGUGACGCCUGCCCGGUGCCGGAAGGUUAAUUGAUGGGGUUAUCCGUAAGGAGAAGCUCUUGAUCGAAGCCCCGGUAAACGGCGGCCGUAACUAUAACGGUCCUAAGGUAGCGAAAUUCCUUGUCGGGUAAGUUCCGACCUGCACGAAUGGCGUAAUGAUGGCCAGGCUGUCUCCACCCGAGACUCAGUGAAAUUGAACUCGCUGUGAAGAUGCAGUGUACCCGCGGCAAGACGGAAAGACCCCGUGAACCUUUACUAUAGCUUGACACUGAACAUUGAGCCUUGAUGUGUAGGAUAGGUGGGAGGCUUUGAAGCGUGGACGCCAGUCUGCGUGGAGCCAACCUUGAAAUACCACCCUUUAAUGUUUGAUGUUCUAACGUUGGCCCCUUACCGGGGUUGCGGACAGUGUCUGGUGGGUAGUUUGACUGGGGCGGUCUCCUCCCAAAGCGUAACGGAGGAGCACGAAGGUUAGCUAAUCCUGGUCGGACAUCAGGAGGUUAGUGCAAUGGCAUAAGCUAGCUUGACUGCGAGCGUGACGGCGCGAGCAGGUGCGAAAGCAGGUCAUAGUGAUCCGGUGGUUCUGAAUGGAAGGGCCAUCGCUCAACGGAUAAAAGGUACUCCGGGGAUAACAGGCUGAUACCGCCCAAGAGUUCAUAUCGACGGCGGUGUUUGGCACCUCGAUGUCGGCUCAUCACAUCCUGGGGCUGAAGUAGGUCCCAAGGGUAUGGCUGUUCGCCAUUUAAAGUGGUACGCGAGCUGGGUUUAGAACGUCGUGAGACAGUUCGGUCCCUAUCUGCCGUGGGCGCUGGAGAAUUGAGGGGGGCUGCUCCUAGUACGAGAGGACCGGAGUGGACGCAUCACUGGUGUUCGGGUUGUCAUGCCAAUGGCACUGCCCGGUAGCUAAAUGCGGAAGAGAUAAGUGCUGAAAGCAUCUAAGCACGAAACUUGCCCCGAGAUGAGUUCUCCCUGAGACUU